CCAAACCGUCGCCGGAACAGGUUUAUGAGGCAUUACCGGACAUAUCACACAAUUUACACAUAAUUUAAAAAUAAACAACCAACAUAUUAAAAUAAAUCAUAAUUCAUAUAAAUUUUACUAAUUGAUUUCAUUCAUUCAUUUUUUUUAUUUUAUAAAAAUUUCGGCAGCAUUUCGGCUUAUUUUUACAUUAAACCCCCUGCAAAAUUUCAAAUAUAACCAACUCAAUUCCAGUAUUUCAACCAAG
This 244-nucleotide long non-coding RNA is filed under the name Gossypium barbadense (sea-island cotton). RNAcentral's name for it is "long non-coding RNA (GBAR_LNC021973)". Lineage: Eukaryota; Viridiplantae; Streptophyta; Magnoliopsida; Malvales; Malvaceae. The record is from RNAcentral.